Nannospalax galili (Upper Galilee mountains blind mole rat) is the source of this 412-nucleotide long non-coding RNA. RefSeq lists it as uncharacterized. The transcript has 3 exons. The record is from RefSeq and is a predicted model, not a curated record. NCBI's taxonomy places the organism in Eukaryota, Metazoa, Chordata, Mammalia, Rodentia, Spalacidae.
CAGCUGUCUUGGGUGAGUCCCCUGGUUCCCAGAGCUGGCCUUGGGCACAGUCUUUCUCUUCCCCUAUCAGAAAGCUGUAUCCCUGGAUGUUGAGAAUGGAACAACCACUGCCUUCACUCCUUGACAAGAAGUGACAAAAGCCAGUAAGAUUAGGAGACUGCAGUCCAUGGAGUUGAAGAAACAUAACCAAGUGAAAAAGCAAAUGAGACCCAGGGCCACAAUUCAUAACCAGCUUCCAACACCCUGUCCUCAUCAUCUUCACCUCAGCUUCCACCUGCUGUCAUCCAAGUAUCUCUGGGGGUUAUUCUGGUUUUCAUGGCCUGGCAUUUAAACUGCCCCCUGCUCCCAACCACAAUGCCAUGAUAUUUCCCAUUUUUAAAGAGAAUACAUAGAGCCCCUGGCAGCUGGACUC